This 253-nucleotide ribosomal RNA is filed under the name uncultured bacterium. RNAcentral's name for it is "partial 16S ribosomal RNA". It matches the Rfam family "Bacterial small subunit ribosomal RNA", at positions 524 to 776 of the family's 1533-position model. The record is from RNAcentral.
GACGUAGGGCGCGAGCGUUGUCCGGAUUUAUUGGGCGUAAAGAGCUCGUAGGCGGCUUGUCGCGUCGUCCGUGAAAACCUGCAGCUCAACUGCAGGCUUGCGGUCGAUACGGACAGACUAGAGGUAGGUAGGGGAGAAUGGAAUUCCCGGUGUAGCGGUAAAAUGCGCAGAUAUCGGGAGGAACACCGGUGGCGAAGGCGGUUCUCUGGGACGGUACUGACGCUGAGACGCGAAAGCGUGGGGAGCGAACAGG